UGAAAUUCCCUAUGCUCAGUUUAGAUAAAUGAAUUUCGAGCAUGAGGUUGAGUUCGUGAUGAGGAAGAGAUCACAUUGGUGGUGGUCUUGUGUCCUAAAUUUACCAAACGAAGAAACUCUGGUGAGGGACCAUCGAGGAAGAUGACUAGAGUUCAUCUCAGGUCAUCUGAGUUUGGAGACACGUUGGGCAUUUGAAAUAUUUUUAUUUGUCCAAUUUGAAUUAGAUCAUGUGUUUCAUUUUUGUUAAAUUCCAUUGUGCGUCCUAGCAUUGUGAUUGUUGGGUCUGUCACGUCAAUUAAUGAGGCCUGAUCCAACACUCCUUUUUUUUCUAAUUUUAUUUAUUUUUUCUUUUUUUUUUCAUUUUUAAUUGCUUUUUCUUUAAAAAUUCAUAGUAAUUUUAUUUUUUAUCCAAAAAAUCUCAAAAUAAUUUAUAAAAUUUUCUUUUAUUUUUCUUCAUCUGAUUUUUAUUUUUCCAUAUUUUAUUUUCUUUAUUUGCUAUUUUUCUUGAAUUUUCUCCUUUCUCCUUUGUUUUAAUUGGUUUAA
This 543-nucleotide long non-coding RNA is filed under the name Lathyrus oleraceus (garden pea). Its description in RNAcentral is "Pisum sativum (pea) long non-coding RNA (PSAT_LNC015109)". Lineage: Eukaryota; Viridiplantae; Streptophyta; Magnoliopsida; Fabales; Fabaceae. The record is from RNAcentral.